AUCUUCGGAUUCCAAGUAGAGUGGCACACGGGUGAGAGUUUACGUGGAUAACCUGCCCUAGAGUCCGGGAUAACACUUCGAAAGGGGUGCUAAUACCGGAUAAGCCCACGCUCUCUUCGGAGGAAGUGGGAAAAGAUUUAUUGCUCUGGGAUGGGUCCGCGGUCCAUUAGCUAGUUGGUGGGGUAAUGGCCUACCAAGGCUGCGAUGGAUAGCUGGUCUGAGAGGAUGAUCAGCCACACUGGAACUGAGACACGGUCCAGACUCCUACGGGAGGCAGCAGUGGGGAAUUUUGCGCAAUGGGGGAAACCCUGACGCAGCAAUACCGCGUGAAGGAUGAAGGCCCUUGGGUCGUAAACUUCUGUCAGAGGGGAAGAAAUACUCGCAAGAGUGCUGACGGUACCCUCAAAGGAAGCACCGGCUAACUCCGUGCCAGCAGCCGCGGUAAUACGGAGGGUGCAAGCGUUGUUCGGAAUUAUUGGGCGUAAAGAGCAUGUAGGCGGACUGUUAAGUCUGGUGUGAAAGCCCGGGGCUCAACCCCGGAAGUGCAUUGGAUACUGGCAGUCUUGAGUAUGGGAGAGGAAAGUGGAAUUCCGAGUGUAGGAGUGAAAUCCGUAGAUAUUCGGAGGAACACCAGUGGCGAAGGCGGCUUUCUGGACCAAUACUGACGCUGAGAUGCGAAAGCGUGGGGAGCAAACA
Molecule: ribosomal RNA, 696 nt
Filed under: bacterium enrichment culture
Lineage: Bacteria
Description: bacterial SSU rRNA
Rfam family: Bacterial small subunit ribosomal RNA
Source: RNAcentral